This 408-nucleotide long non-coding RNA is filed under the name Chinchilla lanigera (long-tailed chinchilla). RNAcentral's name for it is "lncRNA (ENSCLAG00000028643.1)". Lineage: Eukaryota; Metazoa; Chordata; Mammalia; Rodentia; Chinchillidae. The record is from RNAcentral.
ACCAUAAUCCUAACAUUUGUUCAUUUAUCCAUUUAACAAACUAUAGGCAAGCAUCUGGAAUGCCAAGGUGAAUAAAAUCUGUUCUUGGUACUAAACAUCUCGUAAUUUAGAAAGGAAAGAAGGAUGAACAAAUAAUACGGCAAGUGCAGGUUUGGGGUAUGUGGCUAGUGGUAGAGCAUUUGCCAAGUGUGCAAGAGGCUCUGGAUUCAAUCCCAAGCUACACACACACACACACAUACACACACACAAAGAGUUCAUCUCUCAAAACAGUCAAGAAUGUGAACUCCUAUCAGAACACAAAUUUUGUUCAGGGCCAAGAUCUGCCUACCUUUGAAAGAAAAGUAAAGUGAGAAAGAAUCCCCAGACUCCCUGACAGGAAUCAAAAACUGUCUACUUGGCCACAAUUAG